Molecule: ribosomal RNA, 429 nt
Filed under: uncultured bacterium
Lineage: Bacteria
Description: bacterial SSU rRNA
Rfam family: Bacterial small subunit ribosomal RNA
Source: RNAcentral
GUAGGGAAUUUUCGUCAAUGGGCGCAAGCCUGAACGAGCAAUGCCGCGUGAACGAGGAAGGUCUUCGGAUCGUAAAGUUCUGUUGAGAGGGAAAAAGGGUCACCAGAGGAAAUGCUGGUGAAGUGAUAUUACCUUUCGAGGAAGUCACGGCUAACUACGUGCCAGCAGCCGCGGUAAUACGUAGGUGGCGAGCGUUAUCCGGAAUGAUUGGGCGUAAAGGGUGCGUAGGCGGCCUGUUAAGUCUGAAGUGAAAGGUACCGGCUCAACCGGUACAGGCUUUGGAAACUGGCAGGCUGGAGGACAGGAGAGGGCGGUGGAACUCCAUGUGUAGCGGUAAAAUGCGUAGAUAUAUGGAAGAACACCAGUGGCGAAGGCGGCCGCCUGGCCUGUUACUGACGCUGAGGCACGAAAGCGUGGGGAGCAAAUAGG